This 19-nucleotide non-coding RNA is filed under the name Arabidopsis thaliana (thale cress). RNAcentral also lists the same sequence under 1 other name. Lineage: Eukaryota; Viridiplantae; Streptophyta; Magnoliopsida; Brassicales; Brassicaceae. The record is from RNAcentral.
GCAGGACGGUGGUCAUGGA